Long non-coding RNA from Canis lupus familiaris (dog), 1407 nucleotides. RefSeq lists it as uncharacterized. The transcript has 3 exons. Lineage: Eukaryota; Metazoa; Chordata; Mammalia; Carnivora; Canidae. The record is from RefSeq and is a predicted model, not a curated record.
GAGCUGGCUCUUGGGCAGGUCCUUAAAGCCAGAACAGAAUUUUGAUAGGAGGUGAGAAAGUAAGAAGCAUUUUUAGCCAAGAUAGUUAAUUUAACUCAUUAAAUACUUAGAACAAACUGUAGUAAGUAGAGUUAACUACUAAUCAGCACUGCUAGGUGUUAGGCACUACCCUAAAUAUUUAACACAAAUUAUCUAAAUUAAUCUAUUUGAAAACUUGAGGUAGAUACUCUUACUAUUUUCAUUUUAAAGACGAAGCUCUGAGACACAGAGAGAUCACUCAGCUAGUUAGUGGUAGAAUCAGGAUUCAAUCCAGAGCAGCUGCUGACUCCAGGACCUACACGGCUGAAAACAAGGAUCCUGGAGUCAACUGGCUGGCUUCAAAUUCUGAUUCCAUCUACAGCACUUAGGUUACUGCCUGCCACCGGCAGACGUAUGAUUGCCUGUGGAUGAUACACUUUCCCCAGUCAGGAGUUGCAUGGAGAUUUUUUACACUUAAGGUGUCUCCCUGGCUGACAUCAUGAAAGAAAAGGAAAAGGAAAUCAGAAAAGGAAAUGGUGUGGAUUUAGUCCAAUUUGUCUCUCAACUGCAUAUCUUCACAUUUGUUCAAGGAGAAGAAUCAGAUCAAUGAAAGGGCAAGCAGAGGAAGGGGCAGAAGGAGAAAGAAAAUCUCAACCAGACUCCACGCUAAGUGCAGAGCCCGAUGUGGGGCUUGAUUCCACGACCCUGAGAUCAUGACCUGAGCAGAAAUCAAGAGUUGGACAGUUAACAGACUGAGCCACCCAGGUGCUCCUAUCUUUGCCUUUUAUGUUCCCAAUUAACCUAUGUAAAAUGUGAGGUACAAAUAGGAGAAUGAUGGUUUUUGUUACUCUUGGAGGUAUAAUAUGGUCAAAUACUGUCUUUUUUGUUGUUUUUUUUCCCUAGAGAGUGCGUGUGUGCAUGAGCAGGGGAAGGGCAGAGGGAGAGGGAGAGAGAAUCUUAAGCAAGCUUCAUGCCUAGCACUGAACCUGACUCAGAGCUCAGUCUCAUGACCCUGAGAUCCUGACCUAAGCCGAAAUCAAGAGUCAGAUACCUAACCGAUUGAGCCACCGAGGCACCCCAAAAUAUUUUCUUUAAAAGGGCUUUCAGUUGGCAAUAAAACUUCUAAAGUCUUAACUUUGUCACUCAAACAUAUAACAAAAAGCAAAAAUAAAAACAUAAUAUCCCAUAGUUUGUAUUAUUUUGAUUUACUCCAUAUAAUAGUAUGCAGAUUGCCAAAACCAAGCACAAUAAAAAUGUACUAAGACUUCACAGGGAAACCAAGUAUUUAAUGACUAUUCAUUUUUUCCAUAAACAUUUAAUGAACACCUAAUAUGUGCCAGGCUGAGACAGAAAUUGGGUAUAUGGUGGUCAACAAAACAGCCAUAUUCU